GCCCGCUUGUUCGCUCACUCUCAGUGAAAAGAGUUUUGAAAUGAGUUCUGAAUAGACAGCAUUUUCUUUGUGCGGUUGGUAAAUAACACAGAGCAAAGUUAGCAAGUUGCAGCGCCUCUGCGUUCUGAUUCUAUGGAACCUUUUUGUAGGGAGAAGGGCAGGAUGUUUUUAACUGAAUGUGACCUCAGGGGAAUACUAGAGGUAAGGAGAGAAAAAUAAUUGAGGUAACUGUGGGUGUUUUACAUCUCGGAAACCAUGGCUUUUAAUAAGGCCACAUGAAGAGAGAAGCUGGCAUCAUCCCACGCAAAAACCAGUGCCUGGCAGAGUUGUGGAAGGUGCUAUCACAUUGGCUUGGCAUUUGUGUAGCUUUGAUUGAAAAUCAAUGGUUUUCUUAUGAUAAUUUUCACAUCAUAUUUUUUUUCUUCUUUAGAAAAUAAUAAAAUUUCUGAAUGGGGCAGCGUGGAGAAAUCCUAAGAGAAAUAGCAUAAGAGCAUUUUGGAACACAUCCAGGAAAAGAUAACUUUCGACACACCUGUAGACGUUCGCCAGGUAAAGGAAAUCCAGGCCCUUGAGCAAUGUAUUGAUGAAUUGGGGUGGAAAUGGAGGAGGAUGGAAACGAUGGCGGCACUGGACUGUUUUCCAGAAACCAUUUACACAGGCUCACCAGAAGAGGGCAGCGCAGAGCAAUGAACUCUCCGAGGAGUUUCCAAACAGAUGUCUUGAAACUUAAAGUGAAAAUCUCUGCAUGAAAGUAGCCGUUUUUGGACAGCGUCCUCCACCAAAACCAUAUAUCUCUAAAAUAAUAAUAAAACUCCCCAAACAUGCUAAUCUCGAAA
Molecule: long non-coding RNA, 836 nt
Filed under: Homo sapiens (human)
Lineage: Eukaryota; Metazoa; Chordata; Mammalia; Primates; Hominidae
Description: non-protein coding lnc-ST18-4:3
Source: RNAcentral